UGCUCCCAUUGCUCUGUAAUGGGAUGGGAUCCGAAGCCCUCCGAGGGAUAACAUAGGCUCUUCCAUCCAACUCCUAUUCCGACACGUCCUCGUCGUGCAGAAUGGUAACAUCUGCCUCCAUAUAUCCUAGCUUGGGUACACGGGCUAGAUCCAACACCUUGGGCGGAUGGUGGCAUAUGGCGAACCAGGAGGGG
Molecule: non-coding RNA, 194 nt
Organism: Anopheles gambiae (African malaria mosquito)
Lineage: Eukaryota; Metazoa; Arthropoda; Insecta; Diptera; Culicidae
Source: Rfam